UUCCCACACUUUCUGUGUGGCUGUGAGUCUCUGCACCUAUCCAGGACCCCUACCCAGUACAGACUCAGCCCUUCUGCCUGGAGCCAGGGCUUCACACAGACCCUCACCCCAACCCAACACACCAGUUUGCAGGACGCUCUGGAGCUCAAGACCAUACAAGGACCGUGAAGACAGAGAAGGCAUCUUCAGGUCUGGCUCUGAGAGAAUCCAGCCUUCCAGAUAGGGCACAGCUCAAGCAAAGGUCUGCAAGACAGCAGGAGAGAGACCAUCUAUAAAGGGACCGCAGCAAACUGAAAACGGAAUCAGAGCACUGGCUGGGGGCAAGCUUGUGCUCCAGUACUGAGUAUGGCAACUGCUAACAGAACUUUCUAGGCAAACUCUCUGGGUCUUCAUUCCAGACAUCGGAGCUGGUACAGGGAGAUGUGUGGCAAGACCCUCACUCUUCUUAGACCUGGACCAUCCCUGUAGUUGAACAGAAAAGGCACCUAUUAGCUUUCUCAACUCCCUCAUAAACAGAGACCAAAUAUAAAGGAAAACAGAACCAACGAGCCAUCAGGAGGAAAAAGAAAAUGUAGGCUGCAAAAGAUAUUUUUCUCACCCAAAACCACUCUAUUCUGAAAAGAGAACAGGAUGCUCUGAAAAAAGGCGCUGCAUCCAGGGGUUAGCAGCAACACCUCAGGAAUCAAAAACACGACCACUGAAAUUCAAAGGUUUUUUAAUGAACCAUCAUGUGCUACUAACACUUUGGUCAACAACAGGCCACACGUGGUCCCAUAAGAAUGCAUAAUAUUGAGGGCCGAGAGUGACUCAAUCGUAGCUGCUUGCCUAUCAUGUGCAAAGGCCUGGGUUCCAUCCCCAUCACUGCUAAAAACUUUUGGUGGUAUUGAAAAACUCCUAUCAAUUAAUUAUGCCGUAAGGCAUCGUGACAUAAUGUAGCCCUCAUGCUUGUAGUGGGAAUGGUAAGAACACACCCACGGCUCUGCCAGUGGAAUCGAGUGCAGUACACACGAGGUGCCGUGCCCAGCACUGCAAAACAGCAACAAACAGCUGUGGUCCUCCCUUAUGCAUGUGCCAUGAGAUGUUUUGUUAUUUUAGUGUGUUUGUGUUUGUGUUUGCCUGAUAAAGGACUGGCUGUGAAACACAGCUGAGUUCAUGGGAGUCUCUGACACCUAGUGCUCAGUUUUCCCUUCUGUGCUUUUCCUCAGCCUCACACCGCUCCAUUCAAAACAAUGCAACGGGCGAUGGGUUCUUCACGCCCAGCUUCCACACGGCCCAGGUGUGUAGGAAAUGGCACCGUCUAGGCUUACACUUUAGAACACCAAAUCACUUACUGGCAAGUUCCUCAGAAUGCACCCCACCAUUAAACGACACGUGACCGCAUAUAGUGUGAGAGAGAAGGGUCUGAAGCUCUGUCAGUAAGGAGCUUGCCGCUGAGGCCUGAGGCCUGAGGCCCGAGUCGGACCCCUAGGAGCCCUGGAAAAGGGCAGGUGUGGUGGCACACACUGUAAUCCCAGUGCAGUACGGCUGAGAUGGGCAGAUCUGGCCAGAUCUGACUGGCCAGCUAGCUUGGUGUAGCCUGGUCUAAUCAGACUGCUCCAGGCCCCAUCGAGAGACUCUGAAACAAAACAACAACAAAAAUACUUCAUGGACACAAGGCAUGUACACAAUGAACAUGCAAG
This is a long non-coding RNA of Onychomys torridus (southern grasshopper mouse), 1679 nucleotides long. RefSeq lists it as uncharacterized. The record is from RefSeq and is a predicted model, not a curated record. The transcript is spliced from 3 exons. NCBI's taxonomy places the organism in Eukaryota, Metazoa, Chordata, Mammalia, Rodentia, Cricetidae.